Molecule: ribosomal RNA, 277 nt
Filed under: uncultured bacterium
Lineage: Bacteria
Description: partial 16S ribosomal RNA
Rfam family: Bacterial small subunit ribosomal RNA
Source: RNAcentral
AAUCAACGCUGGCGGCGUGCCUAACACAUGCAAGUCGAUCGAGAAAGUGGAGCAAUCCAUGAGUACAGAGGCGCACGGGUGAGUAACACGUGACUAACCUACCCUCGAGUGGGGAAUAACCUGGGGAAACCCGGGCUAAUACCGCAUAACACCUACGGGUCAAAGGAGCAAUUCGCUUGAGGAGGGGGUCGCGGCAGAUUAGUUAGUUGGCGGGGUAAUGGCCCACCAAGACGAUGAUCUGUAUCCGGCCUGAGAGGGCGCACGGACACACUGGAAC